This 543-nucleotide non-coding RNA is filed under the name Pan troglodytes (chimpanzee). The record is from RNAcentral. Lineage: Eukaryota; Metazoa; Chordata; Mammalia; Primates; Hominidae.
GUAUGUACCCCCAGAAGUACUUCCGCUCAGAGAAGAAGGAGACGGCAAGCAGGGUGUACAGGAAGGCCCAGAACCAGCCUGCUGUCAGGAUCAGAACAAAAGAGGAGGACUGCAUAUGUAUGGACCCACUCCAGAUGGCAUGGGGACGGGGGGAGUAGGAAAAGUGGCAUGAUGAGGAAAUGGAGGCACAGACUGAUUAGAAAACCAGCUCAAGGUCAUGUUGCUGAAAUGCUUCUAAGGGGCCAGGCGUGGUGACUCACGCUUGUAAUUCCAAGCACUUUGGGAGGCUGAGGCAGGUGGAUCACCUGAAGCCAGGAGUUCAAGAGCAGCCUGGCCAACAUGGCGAAACCCUGUCUCUACUAAAAAUACAAAAUUUAGCCAGGCAUGGUGGCGGGAGCCUGUAAUCUCAGCUCCUAGGGAGGCUGAGCCAGAAGAAUCACUUAAACCCGGAAGCUGGAGGUUGCAGUGAGCCAAGAUCACACCACCACACUCCAGCCUGGGUGACAGAACAAGACUCCAUCUCAAAAAAAAAAAAAAAAAAAA